UACGUAGGGUGCGAGCGUUGAUCGGAAUUACUGGGCGUAAAGAGUGCGCAGGUGGCCGCGCAAGUCGAGUGUGAAAUCCCCGAGCUUAACUUGGGAAUUGCGCUCGAAACUACGUGGCUCGAGUGUGGCAGAGGAAGGUGGAAUUCCACGUGUAGCGGUGAAAUGCGUAGAGAUGUGGAGGAACACCGAUGGCGAAGGCAGCCUUCUGGGCCAACACUGACGCUCAUGCACGAAAGCGUGGGGAGCAAACAGG
This 253-nucleotide ribosomal RNA is filed under the name uncultured bacterium. Its description in RNAcentral is "partial 16S ribosomal RNA". It matches the Rfam family "Bacterial small subunit ribosomal RNA", at positions 524 to 776 of the family's 1533-position model. The record is from RNAcentral.